Molecule: ribosomal RNA, 360 nt
Filed under: Crangonyx cf. floridanus TRS_205
Lineage: Eukaryota; Metazoa; Arthropoda; Malacostraca; Amphipoda; Crangonyctidae
Description: partial large subunit ribosomal RNA
Source: RNAcentral
AAAACUGGUAUGAACGGUUUUACAAUAUAAAUCUUUUUUUUCUUAAAAUUUUAAUUUAUAGUUUUAGUAAAAAUACUGAAAUGAAUAAAAGGGACGAUAAGACCCUGAAAGCUUAAAGUAGUUGUCAUUGGGAUAUUUAUUUUAGUUUGUGAGGAAUACUAUUAGCUGGGGAAGUUUUUGUAUUAAAACUACAAUUUAUUUAAACUUUGUUUUUAGGGUCCUUUAGAUAAGGAAAAUUAGGAAAAGUUACUUCAGGGAUAACAGCAUAAUAAUUUUGUAGAGUUCUUAUCGAUAAAAUUGACUGUGACCUCGAUGUUGAAUUAAAAUUUCUUGCUAAGGUAAAAUGUAGUUUAGAAGGUU